RNAcentral lists this transfer RNA (87 nucleotides) under Platerodrilus sp. UPOL VP0047. Its description in RNAcentral is "tRNA-Glu". The record is from RNAcentral. Lineage: Eukaryota; Metazoa; Arthropoda; Insecta; Coleoptera; Lycidae.
GUUAACAAAAAAAAGUAGUUUAAAAAUUUGAGUAGUUUAAAUAAAAAAAACAUUACACUUUCAUUGUAAAAUUAAAAUAUUUUUCAA